This 935-nucleotide unclassified non-coding RNA is filed under the name Bombus terrestris (buff-tailed bumblebee). RNAcentral's name for it is "misc RNA ENSBTSG00005036207.1". The record is from RNAcentral. Lineage: Eukaryota; Metazoa; Arthropoda; Insecta; Hymenoptera; Apidae.
UCCACAAACUGCCCUCUUAAUUAAAAUUCUCACCGAACUUCGCCUUCUCCGGGGUGCAUCUUCGUGGCGAGCCAGCUCUGGACGUGUUCAGGGGUUCCGGGUGAAUAGGUGAGCAAUUUGCAACUGGUGUAGUUUGCUGGCUAGAAAUCCUCGAGGGUGGCAACAGGGAAUGGGGCAGCAAGAGACUCAACUGGUGUUGAGCAGCCCACCAUGCAGCCCCGGUCGACCCAUAACCACUAUACAUCAGGCCACAACGCAUCUCUGGAAGCCAGAAAAUUUCUAUUUAGCACGAAAAACCUGGUGGAGACGAGGGUGAAAGCGCUGAAACGGUCCGGUGUCGGUUGGCCGAGGCUGGUGGAGGAAACCGAAGAAGGAUUGGAGGAUGUCGCCGUGGUGUUCAAGCUACUUCCUGCCGCGCCAGGACUCCACGGCGAAGGCGGCAGCGUGACGCUAGGGCUGCUAGGCGGUGAGAGCGUUGCCGGGGGUGACAGGGCGCCCGCCGGAACUCCAAUGGCGCUGUAGUGAAGUUCCGGUUUCAUAUACCAAGUACGCGGCACCGCUUCUGAUGAGCAAACCGUGAAAACAUACAUUUUUAUACAUCUUUUACACGCUCCUGCUGUCGCUAGACUGAGGACUUUUAUGCGAUCGUGGAAAAUUUGAAGGCGCACGAAUGGACAGAAUGUACGUAACACGGAAAAAUGUAUAAAAUGUUCAAAAUAUGAUAUUCCUUGUUAUACGUAGUAGAUAAGACAAUUGCCCACCUGGCUUCCAACUUCUAAAUUCUAAGUAUCGUAAAAAUUUGAAUAAACAUUCACCACUUACUUAUCGUUUAACGUUAUCGUGACAUUACAAAAAUUGUUUAAUGCAGAUGGAGUAUCGCACCCUACAGGCGAUAAAUACGUUUUUCAUAGAAACGGUCGAGUAAUAAAUAUUUU